AGUAUGACCCCACCUGAUGGUGAGUGCAGGCUUCAAACCUGUAGAGCGAU
This 50-nucleotide transfer RNA is filed under the name Grammatophora oceanica. RNAcentral describes it as "partial Selenocysteine transfer RNA". The record is from RNAcentral. Lineage: Eukaryota; Bacillariophyta; Fragilariophyceae; Rhabdonematales; Grammatophoraceae.